This 305-nucleotide ribosomal RNA is filed under the name uncultured bacterium. RNAcentral's name for it is "bacterial SSU rRNA". It matches the Rfam family "Bacterial small subunit ribosomal RNA", at positions 333 to 635 of the family's 1533-position model. The record is from RNAcentral.
GUAGGCCUACGGGAGGCAGCAGCGAGGAAUAUUGGUCAAUGGGCGAGAGCCUGAACCAGCCAAGUCGCGUGAAGGAUGACGGCCCUACGGGUUGUAAACUUCCUUUGUCAGGGAGCAAUUGGGUCCACGCGUGGGCUUAGCGAGAGUACCCGAAGAAAAAGCAUCGGCUAACUCCGUGCCAGCAGCCGCGGUAAUACGGAGGAUGCGAGCGUUAUCCGGAUUUAUUGGGUUUAAAGGGUGCGCAGGCGGAGGUGCAAGUCAGUGGUCAAAUUGCGGGGCUCAACCCCGUACUGCCGUUGAAACUG